Long non-coding RNA from Quercus lobata, 736 nucleotides. RefSeq lists it as uncharacterized. The transcript is spliced from 2 exons. The record is from RefSeq and is a predicted model, not a curated record. NCBI's taxonomy places the organism in Eukaryota, Viridiplantae, Streptophyta, Magnoliopsida, Fagales, Fagaceae.
ACCCUAAUCCAAGUUACAACUCCCUCUUCAGCCUUCACGUCUAAACCCCAAAACCUCUCUGUUUUCUAAUAUAUGCCAAAACUCAAUCCUCCCGCCGCUGCUGCCGCCAUGGAUCACCGCCACUACAUCGAUUUCUCUUUGCCUCUCCAUCAUCGCUCAAUCUAGCCCAUCAUGUUUUAUUUUGAGGUUCCAGGGAUGAAGGAGAUCAAAAUUUCAAAGGCCAAUUUGAUGUAAGCCGUGGCUUUUGUGAUGGGUGGAAUUCAAGAAGCCUGCAAUGAUAUUUAAAUAUACAUAAUACCAAGUUUUGUAUUUUUAUAUUCCCAGUAUGUGAUAUAUUGUUUUAACCAAUCCAGUUGAUUGUAUUUUUAUACUCCCAGUAUUUGAUAAUUGUUUUAACCAAUCCAGUUGAUUGUAUUAGUUGCGGUGGAGGUUGGCUAUUAUGGUCAAAUCGAAACCAAAGGCAAGUUAGCUGGACCUACCAAUUUGAGCAUUGGCCACAUCCUUAAUGAUGUUAGACUACUUGGUAGUUACUACUUGGUAGUUGGUUCUUCUAUUAGGAAUAUAUUUUUCUCUUGUGGCUCCUUGAACAAACGGACCAACAGAGAAGAUAGCAUUUGAAGCAAAGAACUAGCUGGGUUUGCUAGACAAUGAUGUAUUGGAUGGAGGAGUAUCCCCCAUGUAUUAAGACUCUACUAAACAGUAAUGUACCUGCUCAUUGAAAAAAAAAAAAAAAAAA